Molecule: ribosomal RNA, 492 nt
Filed under: uncultured bacterium
Lineage: Bacteria
Description: partial 16S ribosomal RNA
Rfam family: Bacterial small subunit ribosomal RNA
Source: RNAcentral
AGUGAACGCUGGCGGUAGGCCUAACACAUGCAAGUCGAACGGCAGCACAGUAAGAGCUUGCUCUUACGGGUGGCGAGUGGCGGACGGGUGAGGAAUACAUCGGAAUCUACUUUUUCGUGGGGGAUAACGUAGGGAAACUUACGCUAAUACCGCAUACGACCUACGGGUGAAAGCAGGGGAUCUUCGGACCUUGCGCGAUUGAAUGAGCCGAUGUCGGAUUAGCUAGUUGGCGGGGUAAAGGCCCACCAAGGCGACGAUCCGUAGCUGGUCUGAGAGGAUGAUCGGCCACACUGGAACUGGGACACGGUCCAGACUCCUGCGGGAGGGAGCAGUGGGGAAUAUUGGACAAUGGGCGCAAGCCUGAUCCAGCCAUACCGCGUGGGUGAAGAAGGCCUUCGGGUUGUAAAGCCCUUUUGUUGGGAAAGAAAAGCAGCAGGUUAAUACCCCGCUGUUCUGACGGUACCCAAAGAAUAAGCACCGGCUAACUUCGUG